CCAAGAUCGUGUUUGACGGUCCGAUGAAGAUCAUGUCUGCAAUCGCUGCGAUUUGUGGUGUGGACUAAGUCGGCUUUUGAGCAGGAUCUAUGGACCGUUUGAGAAGCCGUCGGAGAAGGAGAAGGGGUAUGUGCUUCCCAGGGCUGAUGGUGAAAAUGGUGAAAACUGUCACGUGAGCAGACUUGGAAGAAGAGCUUCGUCUGCUGGCAUCUUACAGAGGCCAAACAGUGACCAAAACUGUGCGAGGCAUGAUGUAUUACCGAAAGGCUUUGGAGCUUCAGGCCUUCCUUGAUAUGGCAAAGGAUGAAGGUGCCUCACGAAACUUUGUUAUGAUUACUUCUAAAACAUCUGUACAAAUUCCUGAAUCUGCUUUCCCCAAAAGAGAGAAUAUUGAAAAAAUGGAACAUGUUCAUGAUGUUCAAUAUGCAAUUUGAUGAGUUGCAUCAGAGACAAUCACAAUGGACGGUUCCAGACACAGAGCUAAGAGAGUCACUAAGACUUGCUGUUGCUGAAGUAUUAUUGCCUGCUUAUAGAUCAUUCCUCAAACGCUUUGGGCCUCUGGUUGAGAGUGGUAAGAAUUCUCAGAGAUACAUAAAGUAUACAGCUGAAGAUCUCGAGAGAUUGCUGGAUGAGUUGUUUGAAGGAAAGUCUAUGAACGAACCACGACGGUAAAAUCAAACUAUCAAAGCUCAUUUUGUAAGGUAAAUUUCUGUCAAGCUACUUCACUUCUGUCUCCGUUGUAUAUGAAGUGUCAACAAUUUGUGUUUGUUUGUUUGUAUUUUUCUUAGUGAUGAGUGUGUAAAUUACUUGGAAACGAGUUAUUUCUCUUUUGUAUAACGUUUACGUAUCAAGCUUUGAGCUAAAACCUGAUCUCUGUCAGAAAGUAUCACGCUUUGAGCUUGAUGAUUCUCUAGUUCAUUGUGUUCUUCCCAGAUUUUAGGUAGAAGAUGGAGCAAUUCAAAGAGAGGAAGUUCGCAGAGAAUGUGGUAAAGGUGUCACUUCUUCUAAAGCUCUUUGUGGUCACAUGGCUUGUCACUUUGAGAGAGAGAAGAUGGUGUCAUGUUCUCAUUUUUUUCAGGUCAAGAAGAGUGUAAAGUCAUCAGUCAUCAGUCAUUAGUCACUAGUCACGGACUUGUGUAGUAAUCACUUGUGCAAUGCUUACGUACUAACUCUUGUAGUCUUGUAUUCUUGCAAACUCUUGUAGUCACCAGUCACAGACUUGUAAAGUUUUGUGUCUAUAUAAACUUGUGAACUCUUGUAGUCUUGUGAACUCUUGCAGUCUUGUCUAUAUAAACUUUGUAUACCAAACUUUUAUUCACAACACAACACUCUUCUUCA
Brassica oleracea var. oleracea is the source of this 1338-nucleotide long non-coding RNA. RefSeq lists it as uncharacterized. Lineage: Eukaryota; Viridiplantae; Streptophyta; Magnoliopsida; Brassicales; Brassicaceae. The record is from RefSeq and is a predicted model, not a curated record. The transcript is spliced from 5 exons.